UACGGAGGUGGCAAGCGUUGUCCGGAAUCAUUGGGCGUAAAGAGCGUGUAGGCGGCCCGGUAAGUCCGCUGUGAAAGUCCAGGGCUCAACCCUGGGAUGCCGGUGGAUACUGUCGGGCUCGAGUCCGGAAGAGGAGUGUGGAAUUCCUGGUGUAGCGGUGAAAUGCGCAGAUAUCAGGAGGAACACCAAUGGCGAAGGCAGCACUCUGGGACGUGACUGACGCUGAGACGCGAAAGCGUGGGGAGCAAAACGG
Molecule: ribosomal RNA, 253 nt
Filed under: uncultured bacterium
Lineage: Bacteria
Description: partial 16S ribosomal RNA
Rfam family: Bacterial small subunit ribosomal RNA
Source: RNAcentral